Molecule: ribosomal RNA, 2516 nt
Filed under: Pseudomonas aeruginosa
Lineage: Bacteria; Pseudomonadati; Pseudomonadota; Gammaproteobacteria; Pseudomonadales; Pseudomonadaceae
Description: partial 23S ribosomal RNA
Rfam family: Bacterial large subunit ribosomal RNA
Source: RNAcentral
GGUCAAGUGAAGAAGCGCAUACGGUGGAUGCCUUGGCAGUCAGAGGCGAUGAAAGACGUGGUAGCCUGCGAAAAGCUUCGGGGAGUCGGCAAACAGACUUUGAUCCGGAGAUCUCUGAAUGGGGGAACCCACCUAGGAUAACCUAGGUAUCUUGUACUGAAUCCAUAGGUGCAAGAGGCGAACCAGGGGAACUGAAACAUCUAAGUACCCUGAGGAAAAGAAAUCAACCGAGAUUCCCUUAGUAGUGGCGAGCGAACGGGGAUUAGCCCUUAAGCUUCAUUGAUUUUAGCGGAACGCUCUGGAAAGUGCGGCCAUAGUGGGUGAUAGCCCCGUACGCGAAAGGAUCUUUGAAGUGAAAUCGAGUAGGACGGAGCACGAGAAACUUUGUCUGAACAUGGGGGGACCAUCCUCCAAGGCUAAAUACUACUGACUGACCGAUAGUGAACCAGUACCGUGAGGGAAAGGCGAAAAGAACCCCGGAGAGGGGAGUGAAAUAGAACCUGAAACCGUAUGCGUACAAGCAGUGGGAGCCUACUUGUUAGGUGACUGCGUACCUUUUGUAUAAUGGGUCAGCGACUUAUAUUCAGUGGCAAGCUUAACCGUAUAGGGUAGGCGUAGCGAAAGCGAGUCUUAAUAGGGCGUUUAGUCGCUGGGUAUAGACCCGAAACCGGGCGAUCUAUCCAUGAGCAGGUUGAAGGUUAGGUAACACUGACUGGAGGACCGAACCCACUCCCGUUGAAAAGGUAGGGGAUGACUUGUGGAUCGGAGUGAAAGGCUAAUCAAGCUCGGAGAUAGCUGGUUCUCCUCGAAAGCUAUUUAGGUAGCGCCUCAUGUAUCACUCUGGGGGGUAGAGCACUGUUUCGGCUAGGGGGUCAUCCCGACUUACCAAACCGAUGCAAACUCCGAAUACCCAGAAGUGCCGAGCAUGGGAGACACACGGCGGGUGCUAACGUCCGUCGUGAAAAGGGAAACAACCCAGACCGCCAGCUAAGGUCCCAAAGUUGUGGUUAAGUGGUAAACGAUGUGGGAAGGCUUAGACAGCUAGGAGGUUGGCUUAGAAGCAGCCACCCUUUAAAGAAAGCGUAAUAGCUCACUAGUCGAGUCGGCCUGCGCGGAAGAUGUAACGGGGCUCAAACCACACACCGAAGCUGCGGGUGUCACGUAAGUGACGCGGUAGAGGAGCGUUCUGUAAGCCUGUGAAGGUGAGUUGAGAAGCUUGCUGGAGGUAUCAGAAGUGCGAAUGCUGACAUGAGUAACGACAAUGGGUGUGAAAAACACCCACGCCGAAAGACCAAGGGUUCCUGCGCAACGUUAAUCGACGCAGGGUUAGUCGGUUCCUAAGGCGAGGCUGAAAAGCGUAGUCGAUGGGAAACAGGUUAAUAUUCCUGUACUUCUGGUUACUGCGAUGGAGGGACGGAGAAGGCUAGGCCAGCUUGGCGUUGGUUGUCCAAGUUUAAGGUGGUAGGCUGAAAUCUUAGGUAAAUCCGGGGUUUCAAGGCCGAGAGCUGAUGACGAGUCGUCUUUUAGAUGACGAAGUGGUUGAUGCCAUGCUUCCAAGAAAAGCUUCUAAGCUUCAGGUAACCAGGAACCGUACCCCAAACCGACACAGGUGGUCGGGUAGAGAAUACCAAGGCGCUUGAGAGAACUCGGGUGAAGGAACUAGGCAAAAUGGCACCGUAACUUCGGGAGAAGGUGCGCCGGCUAGGGUGAAGGAUUUACUCCGUAAGCUCUGGCUGGUCGAAGAUACCAGGCCGCUGCGACUGUUUAUUAAAAACACAGCACUCUGCAAACACGAAAGUGGACGUAUAGGGUGUGACGCCUGCCCGGUGCCGGAAGGUUAAUUGAUGGGGUUAGCGCAAGCGAAGCUCUUGAUCGAAGCCCCGGUAAACGGCGGCCGUAACUAUAACGGUCCUAAGGUAGCGAAAUUCCUUGUCGGGUAAGUUCCGACCUGCACGAAUGGCGUAACGAUGGCGGCGCUGUCUCCACCCGAGACUCAGUGAAAUUGAAAUCGCUGUGAAGAUGCAGUGUAUCCGCGGCUAGACGGAAAGACCCCGUGAACCUUUACUGUAGCUUUGCACUGGACUUUGAGCCUGCUUGUGUAGGAUAGGUGGGAGGCUUUGAAGCGUGGACGCCAGUUCGCGUGGAGCCAUCCUUGAAAUACCACCCUGGCAUGCUUGAGGUUCUAACUCUGGUCCGUAAUCCGGAUCGAGGACAGUGUAUGGUGGGCAGUUUGACUGGGGCGGUCUCCUCCUAAAGAGUAACGGAGGAGUACGAAGGUGCGCUCAGACCGGUCGGAAAUCGGUCGUAGAGUAUAAAGGCAAAAGCGCGCUUGACUGCGAGACAGACACGUCGAGCAGGUACGAAAGUAGGUCUUAGUGAUCCGGUGGUUCUGUAUGGAAGGGCCAUCGCUCAACGGAUAAAAGGUACUCCGGGGAUAACAGGCUGAUACCGCCCAAGAGUUCAUAUCGACGGCGGUGUUUGGCACCUCGAUGUCGGCUCAUCACAUCCUGGGGCUG